GCCGGGUGUGGUGGUGCACUCCUGUAGUCCCAGCUACUCAGGAGGCUGAGGCAUGAGAAUUGCUUGAACCCGGGAAGCAGAGGUUGCAGUGAGCCAAGAUUGUGCCACUGCACUUCAGCCUGGGUAACAGAGUGAGACUCUGUCUCCC
Homo sapiens (human) is the source of this 148-nucleotide non-coding RNA. It matches the Rfam family "Metazoan signal recognition particle RNA". Rfam says of the family: The signal recognition particle (SRP) is a universally conserved ribonucleoprotein. It is involved in the co-translational targeting of proteins to membranes. The record is from Rfam. NCBI's taxonomy places the organism in Eukaryota, Metazoa, Chordata, Mammalia, Primates, Hominidae.